GUAAUCUUUAUAUCUUUACAAGAUAAGGAAUCUUCUUCUGAAAAGUGUUCUUAUCAAGUGAAUAUUACCUGCCUUUUUUCCUUCUUUUUUCUUAUUUAUUUGAGACAUAUCUCUAACAAAACCCUAAUGGUACAAGUGAUAUUCACUAGAAUAUUCUCUUUAAUAUCCUAUUUCAAAAAUUAGCCGUUACUGCUCUGUCAGUGGUGCUCGACCUCGGUCAUUAUUGACGUCUCGACCACGAAUCUUGCUGCUCCCUGGCCGACCUCGGCUGACUCUUCCCUUAAUGUUAUAUUACCCUAAAUAUUCUUGGGUAGAUUUUUUCCCAUACAGAUACAUUUGGACAAUUUAUCUGAUUUGUACUCCACAUAGGCAAAAUAAAAUGAUAUUAAAUUUUUAUACUAAUUACUAAAGAAAAAAAUGAAGAAAAGGUAAAAGGCAAAACGUUAGAAGUAAAACAUAAAUAUUUCAUUUUUCUCUAAACAUUUCUCUCUCUAUGUCCAGCAGAACUCUAUCAAAAAAUCUCUCAAAUGUCGCUCCCAAUUUCACUUGUAUUUACAUAGAAAUCUUCUAUUUCUUCUCCACUUCAGCUCUUGCUCUUUUUUAUUUCUCUUUUUCAACAAACCCAAAAUGACAACAUUAGCUUGUUUUGGAAAUUUCGGUUCGUACUACUCAAAACAAUUACAAGCCUUACGAUCUUUAACCUGUACAAAAAGCACAACUAUCAAUUUGUUUUUAUGAAAAAACCUAGAACAAACCCAACAUAAAUUAUAAUCAAUUUAAAUCUUCUACACAUUACUUUAUCAUACCUUAUAUGUUUUACAACCAAAAAAUCUUCUUCCAGGAUUGUCAUUUGAGCAUGAAAUUUUCAAAUGUGACGGAUACCCACAUUUACAAAGUGGGUUCAUCUUCAAUAUCUUGGAGAAAACUAGGAAGGAAACCAAGAAUAUGACUAAGGACUUUAAC
RNAcentral lists this long non-coding RNA (963 nucleotides) under Nicotiana tabacum (common tobacco). RNAcentral's name for it is "long non-coding RNA (NTAB_LNC004102)". Lineage: Eukaryota; Viridiplantae; Streptophyta; Magnoliopsida; Solanales; Solanaceae. The record is from RNAcentral.